Molecule: transfer RNA, 63 nt
Filed under: Sinosolenaia oleivora
Lineage: Eukaryota; Metazoa; Mollusca; Bivalvia; Unionida; Unionidae
Description: tRNA-Lys
Source: RNAcentral
GUCCUAGGUGGCCGAGACCAGGCAUCGAGCUUUUAACUCGACCACAGUAAUCACUCCAGGAUA